AAGCCAGGAAAUAAAUCUGCUUACUUGAAUGUGUUGGCAGAAAUUUAGAAAUAACUGGCAAUAGUCAAGAAAGCCAAGUUACAAGCCUUAACAACGCCAAGGUUGAGUAGCUAUAGCA
RNAcentral lists this small nucleolar RNA (118 nucleotides) under Sorex araneus (European shrew). RNAcentral's name for it is "Small nucleolar RNA SNORA33 (ENSSARG00000018094.1)". Lineage: Eukaryota; Metazoa; Chordata; Mammalia; Eulipotyphla; Soricidae. The record is from RNAcentral.